RNAcentral lists this ribosomal RNA (380 nucleotides) under uncultured eukaryote. RNAcentral describes it as "partial 18S ribosomal RNA". It matches the Rfam family "Eukaryotic small subunit ribosomal RNA", at positions 592 to 976 of the family's 1831-position model. The record is from RNAcentral.
CAAUAGCGUAUAUUAAAGUUGUUGCGGUUAAAAAGCUCGUAGUUGGAGUUCUGCCAGGUGCCGCCUGUCCGCCCCAGUGGUGAGUACGUGGCGCGCAUUUGGCCCUUUCAAGGGGAGCGUAUCUGCACUUUAUUGUGUGGUGCGGGAUCCUUGACUUUUACUUUGGGGAAAUAGGAGUGUUCCAAGCAGGCUCUCGUCGUGCACAGCUCAGCAUGGAAUAAUAGCAUUGGACCUCGAUUCUAAGCUGUUGGUUGCCAGAAGCGAGGUAAUGAUGAAGAGGGAUAGUUGGGGGCAUUCGUAUUUAACUGUCAGAGGUGAAAUCCUUGGAUUUGUUAAAGACGGACUACUGCGAAAGCAUCUGCCAUGGAUGUUUUCAUUGA